GACGAACGCUGGCGGCGUGCUUAACACAUGCAAGUCGAACGGAAAGGCCCUGCUUUUGUGGGGUGCUCGAGUGGCGAACGGGUGAGUAACACGUGAGUAACCUGCCCUUGACUUUGGGAUAACUUCAGGAAACUGGGGCUAAUACCGGAUAGGAGCUCCUGCUGCAUGGUGGGGGUUGGAAAGUUUCGGCGGUUGGGGAUGGACUCGCGGCUUAUCAGCUUGUUGGUGGGGUAGUGGCUUACCAAGGCUUUGACGGGUAGCCGGCCUGAGAGGGUGACCGGCGACAUUGGGACUGAGAUACGGCCCAGACGCCUACGGGGGACAGCAGUGGAGAGUAUUGCACAAUGGGCGGAAGCCUGAUGCAGCAGCGCCGCGUGCGGAAUGACGGCCUUCGGGUUGUAAACCGCUUUCGCCUGUGACGAAGCGUGAGUGACGGUAAUGGGUAAAGAAGCACCGGCUAACUACGUG
RNAcentral lists this ribosomal RNA (468 nucleotides) under uncultured bacterium. RNAcentral's name for it is "partial 16S ribosomal RNA". It matches the Rfam family "Bacterial small subunit ribosomal RNA", at positions 28 to 507 of the family's 1533-position model. The record is from RNAcentral.